UAUAGAAUGCCCGAAGGAGAGGGAUUAUUUUGAUAGAAUAAUAAUGCUAUGAUGCUUCUAUAA
Molecule: transfer RNA, 63 nt
Filed under: Caligus clemensi
Lineage: Eukaryota; Metazoa; Arthropoda; Copepoda; Siphonostomatoida; Caligidae
Description: tRNA-Ile
Source: RNAcentral